Molecule: long non-coding RNA, 1684 nt
Organism: Bos mutus (wild yak)
Lineage: Eukaryota; Metazoa; Chordata; Mammalia; Artiodactyla; Bovidae
Source: Ensembl
AUAUAGCCUACAGGCUCCUCCGUCCGUGGGAUUCUCCAGGCAAGAGUACUGGAGUGGGUUGCCAUUUCCUUCUCCAGGGGAUCUUCCUGACCCAGGGAUUGAACCCAGGUCUCCCACAUUGUAGGUAGACGCUUUACAGUCUGAGCCACCAGGAAAGUCCUAAAAAUCGCCAAGGGAGCCAUGGGAGCAGAUAGCCUGAGUUUGAGCCCUAGCAAAAGACCACUGGUGGACAGAAAGAGAGAAAUAGAUUUCCUUAAAGCAACUGACUAAAUAUAACAUGUUUACUAAAAAGCUGGCCACAGACAGCUAAAAUGCAAAUACAAAUGAACUUUGAUGGGCUAGUUGGCAAGCCUCCUCAGCCCUUUAAGCAAAUUCCUGAGUGAUAAAGUUUGUUCUGAAACAUACCUGGGAGCUAGCACUUAUGAACUUCCUAGGGGCUCUUAUCUUUUAGGAUUUAAGAAGUAGCUAGAUUGUGAACGUUUUUCAGACUGCUUUUAUUCUUUCUUUCCAUUUAUCUAUCUACUUACCUACCUAUCUAUGUUUGCCUUAGCAGACCAAUUCGUUAUCCUUAAUGAUGACUAAGACAUCAGCUUCUGUUUACUGAUUUGGUGAACUGAGGUACCAGCACAGUAAGGAACUUGCCUUGAGAUGAAGGAAUAUACAGUCGAACAACAGCUAGAAUUCAGGUUUCCCAAACUGCAGUUCUUUCUUUAGCCCACUGGUGGGCUGCCUCCUAUUUCUAUUUCUUUCACAGGUUCUUUUUUACAUACAUGUACAUAUCUGCAUAGGAGAUGUCUUUGGGACCAUCGGUUCUCUUCACGCAGCUGGCCUGGAAUCUGAGACAGAUCACUGGAACACUCUGGUUCUGUGUAUUUCAGAAAUCGUGGUGGGGACUUCCCUGGUGGUAUAGUGGAUAGGAAUUCACCUGCCAAUGCAGAGACCAAGGGCUUGAUUCCUGAUCUGGGAAGAUCCCACACGCCACGGAGCGACUAAGCCCAUGUCCCGCAACUACUGAGCCCUGCACACCUAGAGCCUGUGCUCCACAAAAGAGAAGCCACCUCCAUGAGAAGCCUGUGCACUGCAACUAGAGGAAGCUGGAGAAAGCAACGAAGACCCAGUGCAACAACAACAAAAAAGAUUUUUUUUUAAUGUGAUGGCGGGAAGCAUUUACAUGUGGUUGUUGUUUCAUUUCAACUAUUCUUCAAAAACGGGGGCGAGAAAAGCCAAGUUCUCUAGUUUUCAUAUAAAGAUGACUCAAUUUAUUUGAAAAUGAGUGUUCCAGAAUCAGACUUCCAGAUUCCAUGAAUUCAGAGUGUGGAAAAGGACACGCAGCUCCCUUUAGCUGUAACAGGAGACAGUCUUUUAAAAGCCUGGAAUGCUGAAGCUCUCUUACACUGAAAACAUGUUAGGACAUGCCUUCUUGGGAUGCUACCAAGUGGUUUAGGCUCUGAAUUCUACAUUCUGUACUUUUGAAAUUGUUUUCUGUUGGCAGACAACCUCUUGAUUAUUCUCAUGUGAUGAGUGUUCAGGCCAACCUCUCCCAUUCCAAGUAAUUAAAAGACAGCAACAAACUCAUACUCUGUGAAGUAUCUACACUUUAGCAUAAAGUUGUGGGUUGUGUGAGUGCUGGGCUUAUAGUGAUCAAUUCUAUGAGCUUUGUAAGUUGUGGGUUGUGUGAGUGCUG